UGGGGAAUAUUGCACAAUGGGCGCAAGCCUGAUGCAGCGACGCCGCGUGAGGGAUGACGGCCUUCGGGUUGUAAACCUCUUUCAGUACCGACGAAGCGCAAGUGACGGUAGGUACAGAAGAAGCACCGGCCAACUACGUGCCAGCAGCCGCGGUAAUACGUAGGGUGCGAGCGUUGUCCGGAAUUACUGGGCGUAAAGAGCUCGUAGGCGGUUUGUCGCGUCGUCUGUGAAAACCCGCAGCUCAACUGCGGGCUUGCAGGCGAUACGGGCAGACUUGAGUACUGCAGGGGACGCUGGAAUUCCUGGUGUAGCGGUGAAAUGCGCAGAUAUCAGGAGGAACACCGGUGGCGAAGGCGGGUCUCUGGGCAGUAACUGACGCUGAGGAGCGAAAGCGUGGGUAGCGAACA
RNAcentral lists this ribosomal RNA (407 nucleotides) under uncultured bacterium. RNAcentral's name for it is "bacterial SSU rRNA". It matches the Rfam family "Bacterial small subunit ribosomal RNA", at positions 355 to 774 of the family's 1533-position model. The record is from RNAcentral.